CGCACUGCUCAGUAACACGUGGACAACCUGCCCUGAGGACUGGAAUAAUCCCGGGAAACUGGGGGUAAUUCCAGAUAUGUCAGAACUCCUGGAAUGGGUUCUGGCAGAAAGGCUCCGGCGCCUCAGGAUGGGUCUGCGGCCUAUCAGGGUAGUAGUGGGUGUAACGUACCUACUAGCCUACGACGGGUACGGGUUGUGAGAGCAAGAGCCCGGAGAUGGAUUCUGAGACAUGAAUCCAGGCCCUACGGGGUGCAGCAGGCGCGAAAACUUUACAAUGCGGGCAACCGCGAUAAGGGGACCUCGAGUGCUGGGUUACAAACCUGGCUGUUGGGCUGCCUAAAAAGCAGUCUAUAGCAAGGGCCGGGCAAGACCGGUGCCAGCCGCCGCGGUAACACCGGCGGCUCGAGUGGUAACCGCUAUUAUUGGGUCUAAAGGGUCUGUAGCCGGCCGACUAAGUCUCUUGGGAAAUCUGGCAUCUCAAGUGUCAGGCUGCCAGGGGAUACCGGUCGGCUUGGGACCGGGAGAGGUGAGAGGUACCUCGGGGGUAGGGGUGAAAUCUUGUAAUCCUCGAGGGAGCACCAGUGGCGAAGGCGUCUCACC
RNAcentral lists this ribosomal RNA (600 nucleotides) under uncultured archaeon. RNAcentral's name for it is "bacterial SSU rRNA". It matches the Rfam family "Archaeal small subunit ribosomal RNA", at positions 82 to 681 of the family's 1478-position model. The record is from RNAcentral.